GAUGAACGCUAGCGACAGGCUUAACACAUGCAAGUCGAGGGGCAGCGGGGGUGGAGCUUGCUCCACCCGCCGGCGACCGGCGCACGGGUGAGUAACACGUAUGGAACCUGCCCUGCACAGGGGGAUAAGCGAAAGAAAUUUCGUCUAAUACCGCAUAACACCUUCGGGAGACAUCUCCCGGAGGUCAAAGGGAGCAAUCCCGGUGCAGGAUGGCCAUGCGGCGCAUUAGCUGGUUGGCGGGGUAACGGCCCACCAAGGCGACGAUGCGUAGGGGUUCUGAGAGGAAGGUCCCCCACACUGGUACUGAGACACGGACCAG
This 319-nucleotide ribosomal RNA is filed under the name uncultured bacterium. RNAcentral describes it as "bacterial SSU rRNA". It matches the Rfam family "Bacterial small subunit ribosomal RNA", at positions 28 to 334 of the family's 1533-position model. The record is from RNAcentral.